This 576-nucleotide unclassified non-coding RNA is filed under the name Aspergillus calidoustus. RNAcentral's name for it is "sequence contains 18S rRNA gene, ITS1, 5.8S rRNA gene, ITS2, 28S rRNA gene". The stretch from base 201 to 354 matches the Rfam family "5.8S ribosomal RNA". Lineage: Eukaryota; Fungi; Ascomycota; Eurotiomycetes; Eurotiales; Aspergillaceae. The record is from RNAcentral.
UCGUAACAAGGUUUCCGUAGGUGAACCUGCGGAAGGAUCAUUACCGAGUGCAGGUCUGCCCCCGGGCAGGCCUAACCUCCCACCCGUGAAUACCUGACCAACGUUGCUUCGGCGGUGCGCCCCCCCCGGGGGUAGCCGCCGGAGACCACACCGAACCUCCUGUCUUUAGUGUUGUCUGAGCUUGAUAGCAAACCUAUUAAAACUUUCAACAAUGGAUCUCUUGGUUCCGGCAUCGAUGAAGAACGCAGCGAACUGCGAUAAGUAAUGUGAAUUGCAGAAUUCAGUGAAUCAUCGAGUCUUUGAACGCACAUUGCGCCCCCUGGCAUUCCGGGGGGCAUGCCUGUCCGAGCGUCAUUGCUGCCCUUCAAGCCCGGCUUGUGUGUUGGGUCGUCGUCCCCCCCGGGGGACGGGCCCGAAAGGCAGCGGCGGCACCGCGUCCGGUCCUCGAGCGUAUGGGGCUUUGUCACCCGCUCGAUUAGGGCCGGCCGGGCGCCAGCCGGCGUCUCCAACCUUCUAUUUUACCAGGUUGACCUCGGAUCAGGUAGGGAUACCCGCUGAACUUAAGCAUAUCAAUAA